RNAcentral lists this transfer RNA (63 nucleotides) under Tullbergia bisetosa. RNAcentral describes it as "tRNA-Asn". Lineage: Eukaryota; Metazoa; Arthropoda; Collembola; Poduromorpha; Tullbergiidae. The record is from RNAcentral.
UUAAAAGAAACCAAUAAAUGGUAUAUCAUUGUUAAUGAUAGUGAGGAUUACAUCCCUUUUAAU